GGUGCUGUAGCCCUGUGGUAGAGUGCUUGCCUAGCAUGCAUGAGGCACUGUGUUCAAUCCUCAGCACCA
This 69-nucleotide transfer RNA is filed under the name Marmota monax (woodchuck). It matches the Rfam family "tRNA". From Rfam's summary of the family: Transfer RNA (tRNA) molecules are approximately 80 nucleotides in length. Their secondary structure includes four short double-helical elements and three loops (D, anti-codon, and T loops). Lineage: Eukaryota; Metazoa; Chordata; Mammalia; Rodentia; Sciuridae. The record is from Rfam by way of RNAcentral.